This 224-nucleotide ribosomal RNA is filed under the name uncultured bacterium. Its description in RNAcentral is "partial 16S ribosomal RNA". It matches the Rfam family "Bacterial small subunit ribosomal RNA", at positions 123 to 334 of the family's 1533-position model. The record is from RNAcentral.
AAUCUACCCUGAUGUCUGGGAUAACCAGCCGAAAGGCUGACUAAUACCGGCUAUAUGCUACCCUGUUGGGGGUAUCAGGAAAGGUGGCCUCUUCUUGAAAGCUAUCGCAUUGGGAUGAGUUUGCGUACCAUUAGCUAGUUGGUGGGGUAAUGGCCUACCAAGGCAUCGAUGGUUAGCGGGUCUGAGAGGAUGAUCCGUCACAUUGGCACUGGAACACGGGCCAG